RNAcentral lists this ribosomal RNA (492 nucleotides) under uncultured bacterium. Its description in RNAcentral is "partial 16S ribosomal RNA". It matches the Rfam family "Bacterial small subunit ribosomal RNA", at positions 29 to 507 of the family's 1533-position model. The record is from RNAcentral.
AGUGAACGCUGGCGGUAGGCCUAACACAUGCAAGUCGAGCGGAAGAACAGUGAUAGCUCGCGCUUACAGCGGCGGAGGGGCGGGCGAGUGAUGAGAACAUCCGUGGCUACGUUUUCGAGGGGGCUAACGUGGGGGCAAAUACGCUAAUAGCGCAUACGACGUACGGGUGAAAGCAGGGGACCUUCGGACCUUGCGCGAUUGUAUGAGCGGAUGUCGGAUUAGCUAGUUGGCGGGGUAAAGGCCCACCAAGGCGACGAUCCGUAGCUGGUCUGAGAGGAUGAUCAGCCACACUGGAACUGAGACACGGUCCAGACUCCUACGGGAGGCAGCAGUGGGGAAUAUUGGACAAUGGGCGAAAGCCUGAUCCAGCCAUACCGCGUGGGUGAAGAAGGCCUUCGGGUUGUAAAGCCCUUUUGUUGGGAAAGAAAAGCAGCAGGUUAAUACCCCGCUGUUCUGACGGUACCCAAAGAAUAAGCACCGGCUAACUUCGUG